Molecule: non-coding RNA, 179 nt
Organism: Penaeus vannamei (Pacific white shrimp)
Lineage: Eukaryota; Metazoa; Arthropoda; Malacostraca; Decapoda; Penaeidae
Source: RefSeq, a predicted model, not a curated record
AUCACGAAAGUCACGGCAUGACCAAAUACGGAUAUAGGUUGCAGUCCACCAGCAGUGUGUCUGAUUUCCAUGAGAGAGAGAGAGAGAGAGAGAGAGAGAGAGAGAGAGAGAGAGAGGGAUGGAGAGGUCUUAUUCAAACGCUUUAUUUACCUUAAAAUCUACAUCGGAAGAGAAAAUAU